CCUACGGGUGGCUGCAGUGGGGAAUAUUGGACAAUGGGGGAACCCUGAUCCAGCCAUGCCGCGUGUGUGAAGAAGGCCCUCGGGUUGUAAAGCACUUUCAGUGAGGAAGAACGCCUGGUGGUUAAUACCCAUCAGGAAAGACAUCACUCACAGAAGAAGCACCGGCUAACUCCGUGCCAGCAGCCGCGGUAAUACGGAGGGUGCGAGCGUUAAUCGGAAUUACUGGGCGUAAAGCGCGCGUAGGUGGCUUGAUAAGCCGGUUGUGAAAGCCCCGGGCUUAACCUGGGAACGGCAUCCGGAACUGUCAAGCUAGAGUGCAGGAGAGGAAGGUAGAAUUCCCGGUGUAGCGGUGAAAUGCGUAGAGAUCGGGAGGAAUACCAGUGGCGAAGGCGGCCUUCUGGACUGACACUGACACUGAGGUGCGAAAGCGUGGGUAGCAAACAGGAUUAGAUACCCCAGUAGUC
RNAcentral lists this ribosomal RNA (464 nucleotides) under Vreelandella stevensii. RNAcentral describes it as "partial 16S ribosomal RNA". It matches the Rfam family "Bacterial small subunit ribosomal RNA", at positions 338 to 795 of the family's 1533-position model. The record is from RNAcentral. Lineage: Bacteria; Pseudomonadati; Pseudomonadota; Gammaproteobacteria; Oceanospirillales; Halomonadaceae.